This is a long non-coding RNA of Linepithema humile (Argentine ant), 1084 nucleotides long. RefSeq lists it as uncharacterized. The record is from RefSeq and is a predicted model, not a curated record. NCBI's taxonomy places the organism in Eukaryota, Metazoa, Arthropoda, Insecta, Hymenoptera, Formicidae.
UAUUACCUUGUUGUUAUUCGCACAUCGACACUCAAGGAGAACAGACGGCAACAAAAAUCGCUUCAAUCGCUACAAUACAUUUUAUAUCGCGACAAUUAUAAGAUUAUUUGCUAUAAAUGGUGAUUCACUGUACAUACGAUUAAUUAAUAUCCGCGAUAAGCAAUUUAAACACUUUAUUCCGUGCGAAUAUAUAUCUCAAUUAUUACUUGUACAAUAUUUAAUUAUCCUCUGCCGUUGUUCUCUGCUUUCCGUGAUGAGAGUCGAACGGGUCAUAAUUCCAAUUUCGUAGUUUUGCCGAGUUUCUCUUUUGUCAUGAUGACAAAGUUCGCGUCGAUUAAUAUCAGUGGUUCCGUAUAAAAUAUCGUGCGAUCGUCGUAUUUUCGCAAGUGAGUCGCGAAGGAGCAGCUGAUAGAUUGUUGAGAAGAGAAGGGGGUCCAGAGAACACCGGGCAUUGGUAGAGUAACUUUAUGAUCAACAUGUGAGCUGCAACUCUGCUGCUGCGCAUCGUGUUGAUUGAUGUUUGAAGUUGCGAGGCAAAAGGGAUGACGGUGGUUGAAGAGAGUGGCAGGCAGCUGCGCGAGAACGGUUCUGAAAUCGACGACGAAACUCCCAAACAUCCAACCACGAUAACUCGUUUCACGGCUUUUCCACGAAAGUGGAGCGAGCGGAAAGGCGAUUACCUCGGAAACUUGUGCGAAAGUUCGGCGAGGCGCGAUAUCGGAUGCGCAUUCAUUCUUAUUGAUUGCAUUGCGCUUAUUCAUGUAAUUUCCAAAACGCCAUUAUUCCUCUAAUGUAAAAAUUCGGAAUGACUCUCCACAUUUAUGUGAUUUUUUUGUCGCAGAUAAUAGGUUAAGAAUAUUGACUUGUAGAAAACUUUUAAUUUUACUCUACAAAUUAUCAGAUUAUAUCCUCAAAGUACUGUGCAAGGACUAUCACUCUACACAAACUCUAUUAUUGUAAGACAUUAUUUUCAAAUAUAAAGUAAUGGUACAACAAAGUAUAACAAUAUUAAUCAUAAUAUUGUUUAGUCGAAAAAUCUUGAUCAUCUGCAAUUCUGCAAUUACUAGUUUCAAAUAUUAUUAAA